CCACAGGGAAAGCACCAUGAGAAGAUGACGGCAGAGAUCUGGGCGACGCGUCUACAAGCCAAGCGACACCAAAGGUGGCCAGCAGCCCAUGUGAAGCUGGAGGAGAGGCCUCGAAUAAAUGCUCCCUUACAGCGUUCAGGGGGAACUGACCCUGUCCACACCUUGACCUUGAACUUCUGGGCUCCAGAACUGUGAGACAGCAUGUUCUGUUGUUGAAGGAGCAGCGUGGCUAGAGGAAUUCCUGCAGCUUAGAUUUCGCUGGCACUGUUACCACUCCCAGAGAGGAGCGGCUGGAGUUCACGGCUGGUUCCUGACAAACUUCCUAAUUAAUCUGCUAAAGAUCAGAGGAGGACUAAUAGGAGCUGAAGACUGUGUGCGAGACCACCCCUCCGCCCUCUCCCUUUGUGUGUGCACGUGUGUGUGUGUGUGUGUGUGAGCGCGUGCGCGCAUGUGGUGCUGAGCUUGGCGGGAGAGAGAUGGCCUCACCAGCGACAAAGCAUUCCUGCUGCUGUUGCUGCCACCUACCUUCCCUGCUUUGGGAGGAUACAUUUUCUCCUCUUGCUUAGAAGUUUCAGGGAGUCACCCAAGCCUUCUUCUCCCAGAUACAACGGUGGAAUAAAAUAUCUUCCAGCCAACAUAUUUUUUGGAGACGGAAUCUCACUCUGUCACCUGGUUGAAGUGCAGCAGCGCGAUCAUGGCUCACUGCAACCUCU
Homo sapiens (human) is the source of this 713-nucleotide long non-coding RNA. The record is from Ensembl. Lineage: Eukaryota; Metazoa; Chordata; Mammalia; Primates; Hominidae.